UCUAUCUCUGUCUCUGUGUCUCUGCCUUCAUCUGUCCCUUUGUCUCUGUCUCUGUCUCUUUGUGUUUCUGUCUCUCUGUGUCUGUCUCUGUCUGUCUGUGUCUCUAUGUUUAUCUGUCUAUCUGUCUCUGUCUGUCUCUUUCUCUGUGUCCCUGUCUCUAUCUAUCUCUGUCUCCGUCUGUCUCUCUGUCUCUGUCUCUCUGUCUUUCCGUCUCUGUCUGUCUGUCUCUGUCUCUCUGUGUCUGUCUCUCUCUGUGUCUCUGUCUCUCUAUGUCUUUCCAUCUCUGUCUCUGUCUCUGUCUGUGUCUGUCUCUGCUCUGUGUCUCUGUCUCCAUCUAUCUCUGUCUCCAUCUGUCUCUCUGUGUCUGUCUUUCUCUGUGUUUCUGUCUCUCUCUGUGUCUUUCCAUCUCUGUCUCUGUCUCUGUCUGUGUCUGUCUCUCUCUGUUUCUCUGUCUCCAUCUAUCUCUGUCUCCAUCUGUCUCUCUGUGUCUGUCUUUCUCUGUGUCUCUGUCUCCAUCUAUCUCUGUCUCCAUCUAUCUCUGUCUCCGUCUGUCUCUCUGUGUCUGUCUCUGCUCUGUGUCUCUGUCUCCAUCUAUCUGUGUCUCCAUCUGUCUCUCUGUGUCUGUGUCUCUCUGUGCCUCUGUCUCUCUGUCUUUCCGUCUCUGUCUGUCUCUGUCUCUCUGCGUCAGUCUCUCUCUGUGUCUCUGUCUCUCUAUGUCUUUCUGUCUCUGUGUGUCUGUCUCUGUCUCUCUGUGUCUGUCUCUCUCUGUGUUUCUGUCUCUCUAUGUCUUUCUGUCUCUGUCUGUCUCUGUCUGUCUGUGUCUGUCUCUGCUCUGUGUCUCUGUCUCCAUCUAUCUCUGUCUCCAUCUGUCUCUCUGUCUCUGUGUCUCUGUUCUCUGUCUCUCUCUGUGUCUCUGUCUCUCUAUGUCUUUCUGUCUCUGUCUGUCUGUGUCUGUCUCUCUCUCUGUCUCUGUCUCCAUCUAUCUCUGUCUCCAUCUGUCUCUCUGUGUCUGUCUCUUUCUGUGUCUCUGUCUCUCUAUGUCUUUCCGUCUCUGUCUGUCUCUGUGUCUCUGUCUCUGUGUCUCUCUCACGCACACACCUAAAUGGAUGUCAGGCCUCGGCAAUUUUCUCCACUCAGGUGAGAGGUUGAGGCAGAGGUUACGAUGGGCGCGACCGACCUGUCCCCGCUAAUCUGCGACCCGCCUCCUGGUGUCGUGCAGCCCGAGGCGCACACCCCACAUGCGCGGUGCCCUUGCCCACAGGGGCACCCCAGGCUGGCUGUGAUCCCACAGGAGGGGCUGGGGACACGUUACAAGCAGCAGGAGGGUGACCCUGGUGUGUCCACAGGGCAGGUGACC
This 1357-nucleotide long non-coding RNA is filed under the name Felis catus (domestic cat). Its description in RNAcentral is "lncRNA (ENSFCAG00000052819.1)". The record is from RNAcentral. Lineage: Eukaryota; Metazoa; Chordata; Mammalia; Carnivora; Felidae.